RNAcentral lists this long non-coding RNA (2608 nucleotides) under Salmo salar (Atlantic salmon). Its description in RNAcentral is "lncRNA (ENSSSAG00000083714.1, ENSSSAG00000108500.1)". The record is from RNAcentral. Lineage: Eukaryota; Metazoa; Chordata; Actinopteri; Salmoniformes; Salmonidae.
GAAAGGAAGUUCUUUGUUAUACAGAACAGCCUGGUCUUAUCUUCAAGUAAUAGAGGGGAAAACAUUUAGAGGUCUUUAGGAGAUGGAGUGUGUGUGAAUGAGUCUCCCCCAAUAUUUACAUUUGUCAUUUAGCUGAUGCUCUUAUCCAGACCAACUUACAGUAGUGAGAGCAAACAUUUUCAUACUGGUCCCCUGUGGGAAUUGAACCCACAACCCUGGUGUUGCCACCACCAUGCUCUACCAACUAAGCCACACAGAAUUAUACAAGUUAUACAAAUAUAAACACAUAUAAAGAAGAAACACACUUUCAAGUGUUCUUGAAGUUAUUAAAAGUGAACUCGUCACUGGCAGUGUGUUUACGUAGUGGUCUCGUAGUGAUGACAUAGAGCGUGUGGGACCUGCCUCCUGGAGAGAGUGUUUGCAGUCGAUUUACACUGUUAGUCAGGGAGGUUACUGUGGGUUAUAUUAAAGCUUUGUGCUUGGGGGGCGAGGUAAGUGUGCAUGCGUGUGAGUGAGAGAGAGCAGGGGAAACUGGUCUAAUGGGUAUAGUACACUAGGCUGGUAUAGUGGGUAUAGUACACUAGGCUGGUAUAGUAAACUAGGCUGGUAUAGUGGGUAUAGUAAACUAGGCUGGUCUAGUGGGUAUAGUACACUAGGCUGGUAUAGUGGGUAUAGUACACUAGGCUGGUAUAGUAAACUAGGCUGGUAUAGUGGGUAUAGUAAACUAGGCUGGUCUAGUGGGUAUAGUACACUAGGCUGGUAUAGUGGGUAUAGUACACUAGGCUGGUAUAGUGGGUAUAGUAAACUAGGCUCGUAUAGUGGAUAUAGUACACUAGGCUGGUAUAGUGGGUAUAGUACACUAGGCUGGUAUAGUUGGUAUAGUACUCUAGGCUGGUAUAGUGGAUAUAGUACACUAGGCUGGUAUAGUGGGUAUAGUACACUAGGCUGGUAUAGUGGGUAUUGUACACUAGGCUGGUAUAGUGGGUAUAGUACACUAGGCUGGUAUAGUGGGUAUAGUACACUAGGCUGGUAUAGUAAACUAGGCUGGUAUAGUGGGUAUAGUAAACUAGGCUCGUAUAGUGGGUAUAGUACACUAGGCUGGUAUAGUAAACUAGGCUGGUAUAGUGGGUAUAGUAAACUAGGCUCGUAUAGUGGAUAUAGUACACUAGGCUGGUAUAGUAAACUAGGCUGGUAUAGUGGGUAUAGUAAACUAGGCUCGUAUAGUGGGUAUAGUACACUAGGCUGGUAUAGUAAACUAGGCUGGUAUAGUGGGUAUAGUAAACUAGGCUCGUAUAGUGGAUAUAGUACACUAGGCUGGUAUAGUGGGUAUAGUACACUAGGCUGGUACGGUAAACUAGGCUGGUAUAGUAAACUAGGCUGGUAUAGUGGGUAUAGUACACUGGGCUGGUAUAGCUGGUAUAGUACACUCGGCUGGUAUAGUGGGUAUAGUACACUAGGCUGGUAUAGUAAACUAGGCUGGUAUAGUGGGUAUCGUACACUAGGCUGGUAUAGUGGGUAUAGUACACUGGGCUGGUAUAGUAAACUAGGCUGGUAUAGUAAACUAGACUCGUAUAGCACACUAGGCUGGUAUAGUGGUUAUAGUACACUAGGCUGGUAUAGUAAACUAGGCUGGUAUAGUGGGUAUAGUACACUAGGCUGGAAUAGUGGGUAUAGUACACUAGGCUAGUAUAGUGGGUAUAGUACACUAGGCUGGUAUAGUACACUAGGCUGGUUUAGUAAACUAAACUGGUAUAGUACACUAGGCUGGUAUAGUCGGUAUUGUACACUAGGCUGGUAUAGUAUACUAGGCUGGUAUAGUAAACUAUGCUGGUGUAGUAAACUAGGCUGGUAUAGUGGGUAUAGUACACUAGGCUGGUCUAGUGGGUAUAGUACACUAGGCUGGUAUUGUAAACUAGGCUGGUAUAGUGGAUAUAGCACAUUAUGCUUAUAUAGUACACUAGGCUGGUAUUGUGGGUGAAGUACACUGGGCUGGUUUCGUGGGUAUUGUAGACUUGGCUGGUUUAGUGGGUAUAUUACACUAGGUUGGUAUAGUGGGUAUUGUACACUAGGCUGGUAUAGUGGGUAUAGUACACAAGGCUGGUAUAGUACGCUUGGCUGGUAUAGUGGGUAUAGUACACUUGGCUGGUAUAGUGGGUAUAGUACACUAGGCUGGUAUAGUGGGUAUUGUACACUAGGCUGGUAUAGUGGGUAUAGUACACUAGGCUGGUAUGGUGGGUAUAGUACACUAGGCUGGUAUAGUGGGUAUAGUACACUUGGCUGGUAUAGUGUGUUGUGGUUGAGAUGGUAGAUAAGGGCUGUAGUAGGGUUGUAUAGUCAGUUAUGUUGGCCGUUCUGACUGAGACAAGGUUUACUUACUUUUCUUGUAUGUGAGGCAGGUAAUGUAGGUAUGAUCCCUAGAAGUCUCUUGGUCUCUCCCAGCUGUGUGCUGUGAUUGAGGUGGUGGAUUAGAGUUAUAUCAUGGGUAUUUGGUUGGUAGGUAGGUAAUGGAUAGUGGUAGUCUUUUUGUAGGCACUAACUCUGCCAUGGUUCGUUGGACAAAGCCUAUGGGAAAAAUAAAUUGUGUUUUUGUAGGGUUUUGGAUAAACGC